GAUGAACGCUGGCGGCGUGCCUAAUACAUGCAAGUCGAACGGACAGACGAGGAGCUUGCUCCUCUGACGUUAGCGGCGGACGGGUGAGUAACACGGGUAUAACCUACCUAUAAGAGUGGGAUAACUUCGGGAAACGGGAGCUAAUACCGGAGAAUAUAUUGAACCGCAGGGUGCAAUAGUGAAAUACGGCUUUGCGGUCAGUUAUAGAUUGAUCGGCGCCGGAUUAGGUAGUUGGUAAGGUAACGGCUUACCAAGGCGACGAUGCGUAGCCGGCCUGAGAGGGUGAUCGGCCACACUGGAACUGAGACACGGUCCAGACUCCUACGGGAGGCAGCAGUAGGGAAUCUUCCGCAAUGGGCGAAAGCUUGACGGAGCAACGCCGCGUGAGUGAUGAAGGUCUUCGGAUCGUAAAACUCUGUUAUUAGGGAAGAAAAAAUGUGUAAGUAAAUAUGCAGGUCUUGACGGUACCUGAUCAGAAAGCCACGGCUAACUACGUG
This 497-nucleotide ribosomal RNA is filed under the name uncultured bacterium. RNAcentral describes it as "partial 16S ribosomal RNA". It matches the Rfam family "Bacterial small subunit ribosomal RNA", at positions 28 to 507 of the family's 1533-position model. The record is from RNAcentral.